Molecule: ribosomal RNA, 454 nt
Filed under: Streptococcus parasanguinis
Lineage: Bacteria; Bacillati; Bacillota; Bacilli; Lactobacillales; Streptococcaceae
Description: bacterial SSU rRNA
Rfam family: Bacterial small subunit ribosomal RNA
Source: RNAcentral
GAUGAACGCUGGCGGCGUGCCUAAUACAUGCAAGUAGAACGCUGAAGCUUGGUGCUUGCACCGAGCGGAUGAGUUGCGAACGGGUGAGUAACGCGUAGGUAACCUGCCUCUUAGCGGGGGAUAACUAUUGGAAACGAUAGCUAAUACCGCAUAAAAGUCGAUAUCGCAUGAUAUUGAUUUGAAAGGUGCAAUUGCAUCACUAAGAGAUGGACCUGCGUUGUAUUAGCUAGUUGGUGAGGUAACGGCUCACCAAGGCGACGAUACAUAGCCGACCUGAGAGGGUGAUCGGCCACACUGGGACUGAGACACGGCCCAGACUCCUACGGGAGGCAGCAGUAGGGAAUCUUCGGCAAUGGGGGCAACCCUGACCGAGCAACGCCGCGUGAGUGAAGAAGGUUUUCGGAUCGUAAAGCUCUGUUGUAAGAGAAGAACGAGUGUGAGAGGGAAAGUUCAC